UCAAAUCCAAUAGGCGACUAACCUGAAAUGAUUAACCUUCUCAAUCAGCAGUGCUUGGAACAAAUAUUCGACUCCCAGUAGAAAAUUAACAUAAAAAAGUUCAAUCAUAUAACAAGCACAAAAAAUCCACAAAGCCUCCGUCUUUUGCUCAUGUAAAAUGAAAAACCAAUCUAACAAUCAAAAUUCUAUACAAAUGGCAUCCAUUUGUAUCGAUGACAGAAAAGAAAGACUGGUAUUUCUUCUAUCUAAAAAUUUUCGUAUCCGUGA
This 267-nucleotide unclassified non-coding RNA is filed under the name Hevea brasiliensis (rubber tree). The record is from RNAcentral. Lineage: Eukaryota; Viridiplantae; Streptophyta; Magnoliopsida; Malpighiales; Euphorbiaceae.